GGAAUGCAUGGCUUGGCGGUCCAUCUGCUUCAUAAGAAAGACACAGACAAAGACCAGAGGAUGUCCCACACUGACGAGCAACCUUAUUUUAGUGUGAUCUGAACUUUUGCUAGCUGUGAAGAAAGGUUGAAACGAAAUUUAGAGAACUUAGCUAGAUACCCAUAUAACACUGUUGUAGAAGUAGCCCCAAGGCGGACAAACAAGUCAAGCAGCAGCUGAUUGAUUUCACCCAGGAAAACCAAGUAAGCAGCCUGUGGCGAUGACAAGAAAGAGAUGUCCAGGGGUGAAGCAGCUCUGAGCAGCACCUCAGCUGACCUGGAGCAGAGGACUUAAUAAGAGCCCUAGCUGUGCCAGUUCAUCCUCCAACAGAGGGACAGUAAUCAGAAGGUGUGGAAGAAACAGACCUGGCAAGAGCAACACACACACGCACACACACACAUAUACAUAAUGGUCCUUUUACAAAUGUACACACUGUGACCCAUGAUGGGUGGCUGUGGCUGAGGGGUAGAGUGGUCGUCCUCCAACCUGAAGGUCGGCGGUUCGAUCCCCAGUCUGAACCAUCUGCAUGCCAAAGUGUCCUUGGGCAAGAUGCUGAACCCCGAAUGGCCCCCCAUAGAAUAACAAAAAGUGCUGCAAGUAGAUGCACUGUAUGAAUGUGUGUGUGAAAGGGUGAAUGUGAAACUGUAAUGUAAAGUGCUUUGAGUGGUCAUCAAGACUAGAAAAGCGCUAUAUAAAUAUAAAUCCAUAAUGAAUUCCGAGCCUCUUUCCCCAACCUUGUUACCUGACCCUGAAACCAGGUAUCAACCUUCAGACAUUUAGGUAAUAAUGCAAAAGCAGAUAUGCACUCAACACAAUGUUUUAAAACUGAAAUAGGUACUUUACAAAGAAAACAAGAUAUGCCAACGCUGUUAAUUGGAAUAGGACUGUACAGCAAGUUGGGUGAAUUUUUGUAGUUUCUCCCCAGACUUUUGCUGGAAACAGCUCUGUAAAUUGUGGCUUUCAACCAGCUGGGACUAUGCAUUCGGAUCUUACUUUUUCCUCCAAAAUGAGUUUGCACUGAGAGGAUACCUGGAAUGUUAAGGGUUAAUGGUGAUGUAAAGGGACUGCAUUGCAUAUUUUAGAAGUCUAGCUUCCAAAAGUCCAGUGACUAAAACACGUGUUGUAACACCCCAGCUGUCAGGUGCUGCUGUCCUGCUGAUGACUGGGAAGAACAUGAGAAAUUGCAGAGGGAGGAGAGGAGGAAAUGCUCUAUUUAUUUACUGAGUAGUCAGGGCACUGAGUUAGGAAGACUUUCACAUAACCUACCCAUAUAUAAUCAACACCAGUCCUCCCCUGGGACCAAGAGACCAUCCAUGAUUCCCAGGGUCAGUUUCACAUGGGAGAAGGGGGGGAGCAAGAGGAGUUAAGACAUAGCCCAUGGAAGACUUCAUGAAAAUACCCCGGACUCAGAAGAUGUAAACAACCCCCAACCAGUUCAACUCUUAUAACCACACAAAGCACUUUAAACCAAAGUUUUACCAUUCAUACAGUGCUUUUAUGUGCAGCACUUUCUCUAUUGUACAUCAUUCAUACACUGCUGGCACAGCUGUCAGGGGCAAUUUAUGGUUAAGUAUCUUGACCGAGGACCCUUCAGAAUGUGAAAUGUGGGAAUAUGGGGAUCAAACCGCCAACUUUCUUGUCAGGGGACAACCUGCUCCAUCUCCUAAGCCACAGCCGCCCCCUACUUGACCCAUUCAUUAGGGAUUAUGCUCCACAUAUCUUUCCUUUUCAGCAAGUGUAUAUUUCUCAUCAUUGUCUUGUUAAAACACUGAACCAUCAUAACAGCCAUAACUUCCUAUGCCCCUGGACUCCCACCAAAAAUCCUCUCUAAGUUCCUUACAGCACCCCCUCAUUACAGCCUUAAUGUUCUGCGCUGCACUCCACUAUGACAGGGUACUGUAGCUACUCUGAUCAAGCACCAGUGGUUGACUCCCUGUUCAGCAUUGCCAUUUUUGGUAACUGAUUUUAAGCCCCUCUUUCCAGUGACUUUUAUGUGUCGUACAAUGACUGUUUCUCUGUCUUUGUGUACGAAACUUUGACAACACCACUUACUAAGUCACUGCACUAUUAAAUCUUUUUAUACAUACAUAUAUAUUCAUACAUACAUUUUUUACAUAUAUGAGAUUGUUUGUGUGUGUGUGUGUGUGUGUGUGUGUGUGUGUGUGUGUGGUGUGUGUGUGUGUGUGUGUGUGUGUGUGUGUGUGGGUGAGUGUGUGUGUGUGAGUGUAGUUUGACCGACAGAUGGAUACAAAUUGAGAAAGGGCUUCCUGUGUGUGUUUUACAGAGCCAAGGAGAAACAGAAAUAUGACCAUAUUAGGCAAUGUUUGGCUAAACAACAGAGAUGGCUCUGACUGUUAUCACAGCCUGUCUUAACAGACACACACACAUGCACGCACGCACACACACACACACACACACACAAUCUCACAUAUAUACAAAGUAAAAAAAGACUUACUAGUGCUGUGAUUUUUAUGGCGUUACAGUUUCUGUGUAAUCUGUUCUGGAACCCUGCGCAGAAAGAGGUAGGGUGCAAGUAGAUUCGGUUUUGUGCUCUCCUUAAAUGGUAAAUAACGUGUAAAUCUGAUGUUAAACCCUCCUGUGGUAUGGCUGACAUUUGUCUCACACAAUUUUCCAUCUUAAGCCAGCAUAGAUGACAGGGACCAUAGACAAAAUUCUCUACACAUAGCAGGCUUAGAAAGAAUAGUAAACAACUGCUAGAUUUAUACAUACACAUAGAAUAUACACACAAGCUCACUUAACUGCAUCUGUUCCCUCAGAGCGCUGCCUAUGUGUGCUCAUGCCUAGAAACAGAGAAACGAGAAUCAGGUGGUGUGAACAAAACAGAUCAUGUAAGAGCAAUACACCCACAAACACAGACACAUCGGCGUAAUGCAUUCCAUAGCCGCUUACCCUCCCCUAAACACUUAUUUAAGCCCUAUGAGACAAAUUGUGAGUUGUGGAUAUGGGCCGAUAUGAUGAUUGAUUGAUUGAUAACUAAAUGCCUAACCCUAACACAUACUUAUAAUGAUACUUUCAGCCCCAUCGUCUGUUUUGACACUAGUGUGAAACAUGCUGGUGCUUAACAGAGUUUUGCGAGUGGAGCCUGAGUGUCCCUCAAACCGCACACAGCUCAGCUCCACAGUUAAGCCAUAAUCUACAUCUGAGGAUCAUCUCUGGGACCAGAGUGAACCAACAAGAAAACUUUGAUUCUCAUUUCAAAUUUAGCUAAAACAUACAAAACAACAGAGAGCUUCACAACUUGGAUAAUUAUUGUCCUAGUAUUCGAUUUCCAUUGCACUAACUUAAUUUAAUUAAAUUAAUUUUACUGAGAAUUUUUUCCUUUUUACAGUAUACCUGGCAUGCAAUUUAAAACCAUCCGAACCUGGGUAGGGGCUCUUUUAAAAUGGGAAUAAAGUGGUUGGUCUUUAGUUUUUUUUGUUCUAUUAGUUUUAUUUAUUUAUUUUUGCAUGUUGCUGUAGCAGAGUAUAGCCAAUGUCACUCUCAUGUUGUGCUAUGUUUUUAGGUUCAGGAUGCAAAUGUAACAUAUUUUAAAAACAGAAUGUAAAUGUGUAAAAUGGAGUGUAAAUGAUUGAUAAUGGUUGGUAUGAUGUAUUCAUGGAAUGGCCACACAGAUAGGCUGCUGCAGGACCUGUCACAAAAUUAUCUCUAUAAAGAUAAAUGUAUAGAUUACAUGAAGGCUCUCCAUAUUAAGAUGGAACAUGACGAAUCAGUUGCCAAUAAGAAGGUCCACUCAUAGUAAAAUGUGUCUUAUGUUGUCCUUAAAUUAAAUUGCAACAGGUCCUGUUAUCACCUAGGAAGAAAACCUCUCUAGAGUAAAAAUAGAAAGCAGCCAAAGUGUCUUUCGGAGAGAUCUUUCUGUGACUGAAUAUGUAACAUUUGUAAUUCCAAGGGGUUGAGCAGAGUGAACAGGAGUGGCCAAUGCCUGGAUAAGAAGAGGCUAGAGGAAUUGGUAAGUAUGUCAUCCUGAUUACAGUGCAAUACUUCUCGACUCUCUCAGACACUCACACGGAUAAACUAUCCUUGCAACAUGGAGAUGAUGAUCGUAAGUUUGAAGCUUGGUGUCAUGUAUGCAUACACACACACACACACACACACACACAGGAAGGCGUUGAGAAAAGACUUGACGUGGGUCUGUGGUUUUGUGAGAGAGAGAGAGAGAGAGAGAGAGAGAGAGAGAGAGAGAGAGAGAGAGAGAGAGAGAGAGAGAGAGAGAGAGAGAGAGAGAUGGUCUUUCUUCUUAAUAUGGACUUGUUUGGCCCAGAGCAGAGGGAAAAGGGCUAAAUAAAGGGCGCCCUCCUCCUCUGCUGCCUCCCCACUGUGACUAGAAAAGGGAAUGUAUUUAGCCAGAAGGGUAGGGGGUGGUGGGGGUGACAAACUAUCAGUGGGAGCAAUCACAUCCUGGAGGAGGGAAUGUUUAUCCAAAGCAGCAAUCCCUUUUUCCAUGUUCCCAGAAAUGAAAGACCAUAUAUGGGCAGACUGGGAGUUUCCAGCUGAACAGAGUCCGAGCAUUCUCUUUCUGCUCCUGUCUUUAUAGGACUCUCAUAGUGUUGGGAAAGGGAUUUCAAAUAGAACAUCUGUACAUUUGAUAUGAAUCCAAAGUAGAUGCCACUUAUAUUCCAAUUUCCUAUACUGAGACCUGUGAAAGCGAUUUGCACCACUUCUUCUUUUCAGUCUCCAAGGUCCAGAGUCUUUCAACAAUUAGGUCUUUAAAUACUGAGUAACAAAACAUCACGUAUAAGCUGCUGUUAUAUCCCACAAACAAAUGCGAGCCAAUCAACCUAAAAACUGACAGAUAAGAGCUGUGGAUGGUGGGCUAAAGCUAGAACUGUUCUAAGCCACCACACAAUACCAACAGUAGGAAUACACAAUGUUUGGUUACGUUAUGUAUACAGUGCAUGGACUCAUCUAUCUAAGCUGCAAUAGUGUAUGCGGGUGGCUCAACGAGCUGAAUCAUUUAGACAAACCAAACAGGCCGAGUUUUAAUUAUCCUCCUACAGCUUGUAGUGUGAAGCAAUAUGGACCAAUGGGAUUGACUAAUCAGCCGAUUUAGAAUCUUUGGGGCUGUGAUUUUAAAUAUAUCUCAGUCCAAUAAUGCCCUUUUGGAUGGGAUUAUCAAAUUAUAAAAUUGUCAGACUGACAACAAUGAGCUGUAGCAGCACUACCUCCACCUCACUCAUAAGCACCUCGAUUUUGGUGUUGGAAAAGUUGGUCUUCUCGCUUGUUGAUGCCAUGAUUCACCAUAAUAAAUCAUUGAGGAGCUUUGGUUUGACAAUUUAUGUUGAAUGUGGGAGUGUAGAGGGCAGGAUAUGUAUCCUUUUUUCCAGGAGGACUGGGAUUUUGAAACCGAACAUUGCCUUCAGUCGUGCAUCUGCAAAGUUUUUUAAAUCUUAUGAUUUAUUUGGGUACGCCAUUUUUGGCUAUUGUGCCCAUGUUCAUUUUAAAUUUGAAUCCUAUGCAAUGUUAUAUAAGUGAGUUCCCUAAUGAUGUUACAAUUAUAGAGGAAGAUAAAUACCCAUCUUCUACAUCAUAUUCUUACCACAAUUAAAUCCAGUGUCAUACAGAUAAAAAUAAUUCAAUGAAAACUCAGUCAAUAGGAAAUCACCGGUAGAAUGUUUCACUUAAUUACACCAAAAUGACAGCCCAUGUGCAGCACAUGGAAUUAUUAAACCGUCUCAGCUCACUAAAUUUACGUUGUCUGCUAUUUCCAUUUUUUCUUCUUCUAUCAGUAGACGUCCUUCUCUUCCCUAUGGCCCAUGGUGCAGUGCUGCAUCUCUGGUCAGUUGGUAGUCUGAGAUGAAGCACUGUAGCUCGGGACGGAGGACAGAAAUAUCAAUCUGAGCAUGUCCACAGUCAUGUAACAGCAUCAAUCAGCAGGUAAAUGGUACAUGGACACUAUUUAUAUAGUGCUUAGUCUUAUCGACCACCAGUGCUUAACACUACCAUCCACAUUCACCCAUUCACAUUCAUACAGAACUAAUAUAUGCUGUGCAUAAGUACCAGAUAUGUGGUUUUCUUGUGUUAGGGAUUAUGAUGUGAAAUUAUAUGAUGAUGCCAGUCGAGGAUGAUGUACGCCCACGUCUGUUUCUGCUAGAGGUUUGUUCCAGUUAUUGGGGGAGUUUCUCUAUAAUAUUUAAGGUCUCAACCUUACUAUACGUGUGCUAUGAAAUGAUGUAUGUUAUGAUUUGGCACCAUACAAAUUGAAUUGAAUAUAAUAUGUUUCUAUUAACAUUGUAGAAUUUUUUUUUAUCAUAAAAUGUGGACUUUGUGAAAAUAGCCAAGAGUCAGCAUUAUAUAUUUAGGUAUAACUUUCCAAAAUGUGGAAAUCCAAUUUAGCACUUUGCUUGUCUUUGUAAGUCUUUAUAGCCUCAUAAAGAUAUAUCAACCAGGCACCCCUUAUUCUAUUAGAUUAUUCUAUUCUAUCAUCCAAUUCUGUAAUUGUCCAUUGCAGUGAAAAGCCUUAAAUUACAGUUUGUGAAUCCUUUCAGAUUAAUUAAUUUUACAACAUGUAAUCGAUAUUAGUUUAAAUUGUAAUUGGAUUUAGAUAGCUCUUUUCUAGACUUGAAGAUCACUUUUUUGCAGUUUGGCCCAUUUACACACAUUCAUAAAGUGCAUCUAUGUUCAGCACGGUCUCUAAUACGCAACACUCACACACUGUCAGCACAACUGUCAGGAGCAAUUUGGGGCUCAGUAUAUUGCUCGACGACACUUCAGCACACGGAUUGGAGGAAACUAGAAACAAGCUACCAACCUUUUUGUUAAUGGACGACCCGCUCACCUUCUGAGCUACAGCCACCUUAAUAAAAUGCGGAAACCAUUUUUGAAGAGGCACUUUCAGAAGAAGGAAAGAAAAGCACAGAUGUGGUCGUUUCUAAUCAACAGCUGCAGUGCUGCAUGUGAAGAAUGGAACCAUUGCUGUUGGUGUCUGGAAAAUAAUGGAUCAAAUCAAAAGAUUUAUCUCCUCUCUCCUGGGGUCCAGUUUUCCCAGGAAUCCCUUGACCUAUCAGAAAGGGGGAUUCCUGGAAAUACUGUUCUUGGGGGUUGGGCUUAUCAGCAAUUCCAUGGGCCAUAUGAUACAGCAUGAUCUUGUUUGGUGCUUGUGACAAUGCUAGGGCUAGAGUUGGUGUUAGAGAAACAAAAAUCAUUCUUUCAGUAACAUGUGAUUCUCCGGUUGUCCUUACUGAGGGGCUGCAAUGUAAGCAGCCAGCGCACAAUAUGUCAUUUAAAAAAUGAAUACUGCUUAUUGAUCAAUAAACUGUCAAAACAAAGAAA
Pleuronectes platessa (European plaice) is the source of this 7329-nucleotide long non-coding RNA. RefSeq lists it as uncharacterized. The record is from RefSeq and is a predicted model, not a curated record. The transcript has 2 exons. NCBI's taxonomy places the organism in Eukaryota, Metazoa, Chordata, Actinopteri, Pleuronectiformes, Pleuronectidae.